Molecule: ribosomal RNA, 461 nt
Filed under: uncultured bacterium
Lineage: Bacteria
Description: bacterial SSU rRNA
Rfam family: Bacterial small subunit ribosomal RNA
Source: RNAcentral
GAGCGGACCUUCGGGGUCAGCGGCGGACGGGUGAGUACACGUGGGCAAUCUAUCUGUCAGACCUGGAAUAACGCCUGUGAAACGGGUGCUAAUGCCAGAUAAUAAGCGAGGAGGCAUCUCCUUGUUUUGAAAGGUGCUUUGGCAGUACUGACAGAGGAGCCCGCGGCGCAUAAGCUAGUUGGUGGGGUAGAGGCCUACCAAGGCGACGAUGCGUAUCCGACCUGAGAGGGUGACCGGCCUCACUGGGACUGAGAUACGGCCCAUACUCCUACGGGAGGCAGCAGUAUGGAAUCUUCCGCAAUGGGCGAAAGCCUGACGGAGCAACGCCGCGUGAGCGAUGAAGGUCUUCGGAUUGUAAAGCUCAGUCACCCGGGAAGAGUGGAUAUACUAGGGAAUGCUUUUAUCGAUACGGUACCGGGAUAUGAAGCCCCGGCUAACUACGUGCCAGCAUCCGCGGUAAU